RNAcentral lists this ribosomal RNA (464 nucleotides) under uncultured bacterium. RNAcentral describes it as "partial 16S ribosomal RNA". It matches the Rfam family "Bacterial small subunit ribosomal RNA", at positions 338 to 795 of the family's 1533-position model. The record is from RNAcentral.
CCUACGGGUGGCAGCAGUGGGGAAUUUUGGACAAUGGGCGCAAGCCUGAUCCAGCUAUUCCGCGUGUGGGAAGACGGCCUUCGGGUUGUAAACCACUUUUGUAGAGAACGAAAAGUCUAUUGAUAAUACCGAUAGAUGAUGACGGUACUCUAAGAAUAAGCACUGGCUAACUACGUGCCAGCAGCCGCGGUAAUACGGAGGAUGCGUGCGUUAUCCGGAUUUAUUGGGUUUAAAGGGUGCGCAGGCGGAUUUUUAAGUCAGCGGUCAAAUCGUGGGGCUCAACCCCAUCCAGCCGUUGAAACUGGGGAUCUAGAGUGUGCGAGAGGUAUGCGGAAUGCGUGGUGUAGCGGUGAAAUGCAUAGAUAUCACGCAGAACCCCGAUUGCGAAGGCAGCAUACCGGUGCACAACUGACGCUCAGGCACGAAAGCGUGGGUAUCGAACAGGAUUAGAUACCCGAGUAGUC